Molecule: ribosomal RNA, 385 nt
Filed under: uncultured bacterium
Lineage: Bacteria
Description: bacterial SSU rRNA
Rfam family: Bacterial small subunit ribosomal RNA
Source: RNAcentral
GACGAACGCUGGCGGCGUGUUUAACACAUGCAAGUCGAACGGUGAAGCCCUUCGGGGUGGAUCAGUGGCGAACGGGUGAGUAACACGUGAGCAAUCUGCCCUUGACUCUGGGAUAACUUCGGGAAACCGGAGCUAAUACCGGAUAUGACAUACGGCCGCAUGGUCUGUGUGUGGAAAGAUUUAUUGGUCAGGGAUGAGCUCGCGGCCUAUCAGCUUGUUGGGGGGUAAUGGCCUACCAAGGCGACGACGGGUAGCCGGCCUGAGAGGGUGACCGGCCACACUGGGACUGAGACACGGCCCAGACUCCUACGGGAGGCAGCAGUGGGGAAUAUUGGACAAUGGGCGAAAGCCUGAUCCAGCAACGCCGCGUGAGGGAUGACGGCCU